This 253-nucleotide ribosomal RNA is filed under the name uncultured bacterium. RNAcentral describes it as "partial 16S ribosomal RNA". It matches the Rfam family "Bacterial small subunit ribosomal RNA", at positions 524 to 776 of the family's 1533-position model. The record is from RNAcentral.
UACAGGGGGGGCAAGCGUUGUUCGGAAUUACUGGGCGUAAAGGGCUCGUAGGCGGCCAACUAAGUCACACGUGAAAUCCCCAGGCUUAACCUGGGAACUGCGUGUGAUACUGGAUGGCUUGAAUCCGGGAGAGGGAUGCAGAAUUCCGGGUGUAGCGGUGAAAUGUGUAGAGAUCCGGAGGAACACCAGUGGUGCAGACGGCGCCCUGGGUCCGAACUGACGCUGAAGCACGAAAGCGUGGGGAGCGAACGGG